AGCUUUGUGCAGUGGCAAGUAUGGUAGCCAUGAGGUUUAUCCAAGGAGCGAUUAUUGCUAAUUGAAAACUUCACUUUGCCCAUGUGUGUAUUUGUGCCCAAAAUCCCAAGAGGAA
This 115-nucleotide small nuclear RNA is filed under the name Tupaia belangeri (northern tree shrew). Its description in RNAcentral is "U4 spliceosomal RNA (ENSTBEG00000020945.1)". The stretch from base 1 to 82 matches the Rfam family "U4 spliceosomal RNA". Rfam says of the family: U4 small nuclear RNA (U4 snRNA) is a component of the major U2-dependent spliceosome. The record is from RNAcentral. Lineage: Eukaryota; Metazoa; Chordata; Mammalia; Scandentia; Tupaiidae.